This 205-nucleotide long non-coding RNA is filed under the name Phaseolus vulgaris (common bean). RNAcentral's name for it is "long non-coding RNA (PVUL_LNC003294)". The record is from RNAcentral. Lineage: Eukaryota; Viridiplantae; Streptophyta; Magnoliopsida; Fabales; Fabaceae.
CUGAAGAACUCGAGAAACGAGCUGAAGAAUUAGAGCAACAGACCGAGGGGCUCAAAAAGCAGACUGAAGAGCUCGAGCUGAGCUCCGCCCAGAUCCUCGCUGCUGGGUUUGACGCUGCCUUGGAACAAUUCGCCUGCCAGUACCCUGACUUGGAUCUCUCCAUGGUGUCGCUAAACAAUGAAGUGGUGGAUGGGAAGAUCGUUCC